Molecule: small nuclear RNA, 104 nt
Organism: Hippopotamus amphibius kiboko
Lineage: Eukaryota; Metazoa; Chordata; Mammalia; Artiodactyla; Hippopotamidae
Source: RefSeq, a predicted model, not a curated record
GUGCUCAUUUUGGCAGUACAUAUACAAAAAUUGGAACUAUACAGAGAUUACCAUGGCCCCUGUGUGAGGAUGACACACAGAUUUGUGAAGCAUUCCAUACUUUU